CAGACCCACACGCACAAACCCCACUAAAGCUUAGGCUGCAUGGCCAUGACAGUCCACUGGCCCAUUUAUCAGCUAUUUAUGAGCCUCAUUGAAUGUUUUUUUUAUCAACACGCAUGCCUACGUCACAACGGACAGCAGACUAUGAACAGCAUUACUAUCCCACUUUAUUUUGUAAGCUGAAUAAUGGGGCUGGGGAAAUUGAACCACUCUCAAAUACUGUAGAUCUAUUCAUAGAUGGGGCUAUGGAUGCAGGACUGAAAAUCAAUGAGAUCGACAUACAGUGGAGAGAACAAGUAUUUGAUACACUGCCGAUUUUGCAGGUUUUCCUACUUACGAAGCAUGUAGAGGUCUGUAAUUUUUAUCAUAGGUACACUUCAACUGUGAGAGACGGAAUCUAAAACAAAAAUACAGAAAAUCACAUUGUAUGAUUUUUAAGUAAUUAAUUAGCAUUUUAUUGCAUGACAUAAUUAUUUGAUACAUCAGAAAAGCCGAACUUAAUAUUUGGUACAGAAACCUUUGCUUGCAAUUGCAGAGAUCAUAUGUUUCCUGUAGUUCUUGACCAGGUUUGCACACACUGCAGCAGGGAUUUUGGCCCACUCCUCCAUACAGACCUUCUCCAGAUCCUUCAGGUUUCGGGGCUGUCGCUGGGCAAUACGGACUUUCAGCUCCUUCCAAAGAUCUUCUAUUGGGUUCAGGUCUGGAGACUGGCUAGGCCGCUCCAGGACCUUGAGAUGCUUCUUACGGAGCCACUCCUUAGUUGCCCUGGCUGUGUGUUUUCGGGUCGUUGUCAUGCUGGAAGACCCAGUCACGACCCAUCUUCAAUGCUCUUACUGAAGGAAGGAGGUUGUUGGCCAAGAUCUCGCGAUCCAUGGCCCCAUCCGUCCUCCCCUCAAUACGGUGCAGUCGUCCUGUCCCCUUUGCAGAAAAGCAUCCCCAAAGAAUUAUGUUUCCACCUCCAUGCUUCAUGGUUGGAAUGGUGUUCUUGGGGUUGUACUCAUCCUUCUUCUUCCUCCAAGCACGGCGAGUGGAGUUUAGACCAAAAAGCUCUAUUUUUGUCUCCUCAGACCACAUGACCUUCUCCCAUUCCACCUCUGGAUCAUCCAGAUGGUCAUUGGCAAACUUCAGACGGGCCUGGACAUGCGCUGGCUUGAGCAGGGGGACCUUGCGUGUGCUGCAGGAUUUUAAUCCAUGACUGCGUAGUGUGUUACUAAUGGUUUUCUUUGAGACUGUGGUCCCAGCUCUGUUCAGGUCAUUGAGCAGGUCCUGCCGUGUAGUUCUGGGCUGAUCCCUCACCUUCCUCAUGAUCAUUGAUGCCCCACGAGGUGAGAUCUUGCAUGGAGCCCCAGACCGAGGGUGAUUGACCAUCAUCUUGAACUUCUUCCAUUUUCUAAUAAUUGCCCCAACAGUUGAUGCCUUCUCACCAAGCUGCUUGCCUAUUGUCCUGUAGCCCAUCCCAGCCUUGUGCAUGUCUACAAUUUUAUCCCUGAUGUCCUUACACAGCUCUCUGGUCUUGGCCAUUGUGGAGAGGUUGGAGUCUGUUUGAUUGAGUGUGUGGACAGGUGUCUUUUUAUAGAGGUAACGAGUUCAAACAGGUGCAGUUAAUACAGGUAAUGAGUGGAGAACAGGUGGGCUUCUUAAAGAAAAACUAACAGGUCUGUGAGAGCCGGAAUUCUUACUGGUUGGUAGGUGAUCAAAUACUUAUGUCAUGCAAUAAAAUGCAAAUGCAUUACUUAAAAAUCAUACAAUGUGAUUUUCUGGAUCUUUAGACUCAGUCUCUCACAGUUGAAGUGUACCUAUGAUACAAAGCAUGUAGAGAUCUAAAAAUGUUUAAGUAGGAAAACUCAAAAUCGGCAGUGUAUCAAAUACUUGUUCUCCCCACUGUACAUCAUAUUUUCGAGCCUUACAUUUGUUUACAAAUUACAACAAAAACAUACACAAUGGAGUAACACAGCCUUAGAUACGGGAUUAAGCUCAUAAGGCAUGUAUAACUUAUAUUCAAUAACAAAUGCAAUUAAUUAUCAUUAGGCAGGUUUCCACUCACUCAUGUUUAUUCAACAAACGCAAUGUCGCAAAAAAAACACAUUGCGACGUGUAAUGGAAACGGCAGCUAUAUACUGUUAUAAUGGAAUGCACACUUACGUUCUAAAUAAUUGUGGGACCCCUGAUGACUUCCUCUCCGGAAACUUGUUGUUCUUCUUAUUACUAGCCUGCCUCUCUUCCAACUGUUCGUUUUUACUCUGGUUCUAAAUAAACAAACGGACAACUAGGUUUAUUGUAAUAUUCAUUGGGUGAAUAAAAGUUUAUUCACCCAAUGGGUCAAACGGCUGAAGAGACAAAAACAUAUUCACACAAGCACUGGUAUUUAAACCUUCCUCCUAUGUGGAGUCUCCUUCUUACACAUCUGAACAGCCAAUAUAUCUGUUGCUAGACAGGACUUUAGUGAUGUCUGUUCUUUCUCACUUCUGACCUGUUGACUGUGGCCCUUCUCCUUUCCAUAGGAUACCCGAUGUCUAACAAUAACAUGUUCUGACAGAAUGUAAAUGUUCUGCAUUCUCCCCUCUUGCUUAAUGACUUGAUUUAAGGAUAUUUCAAGUUUAUAACUCAGUAUCCAUCACAACCAAACAAGUAAAAUGAUCAGACCAACUUUGGUAGUUGCUGUUCUGUUAGUUGUGUUGUGAUGUCAGGCAAAAAUGCCUUAUCAAAGAUUCAAAUGUUCAGAUUUCCAAAAAACGAGGAUCGUAAUGAGCUUGGGUCACUGCAGUCUGAGUGGAGGCUUGGGAGUCAAAAAAUCAUAGCAGGUCUGCAGCACUCACUUCAUUUCAGGUGAGCCAUCACCACACCACUGAUGGUGCUCAAAAUAAAUGUACAAGAAGAAGCAAAAAAGAUUGCAAUCAGAACGUGUUUUGAACAAUGAAGAUGCCACCAGAUUCUACGCCAGUCUUCCCUCUGUCAGUUUUUUUUUUACCCUUGUGACAUACCUUACAACAGCAUGGGCUCAUGCGCCCAUGCUGAGAGAGAGGGAGGGAGAAUGUAAAUAUUAAUCAGUCAGGACUUCAAUUACUGUACAGAAUGUUUUUAGAAGUUAGAUACAUUUUUAAUAAAUUGUUUGAAUAUUUGACUGAAUUAUUAAGUGCAUUGAGAUAUGAUUUUAUGAGUACUGCUCAUAAGUAUAUGUUGGAUAAAAAACAUACAGAUCAUUGAAAUAUAACAGAACACACAUUCCUCUCUGACAUCUACAGUUAGGAAUUGCCUUGCUUCUAUUCAUUGCACUUCUAUUUAAUGCCUGUGAGCAAUGUCCAGGUGUCCGUUGAAUACCUGCAGCCUUCACUUCAUAAAGUCAUGUACCAACUUUGGCAGCAUAUGUUGAAAGUAAACUCCGCAAAUAAAGAAACAUUCUCUCACUGUCAA
Long non-coding RNA from Oncorhynchus nerka (sockeye salmon), 3408 nucleotides. RefSeq lists it as uncharacterized. NCBI's taxonomy places the organism in Eukaryota, Metazoa, Chordata, Actinopteri, Salmoniformes, Salmonidae. The record is from RefSeq and is a predicted model, not a curated record. The transcript has 2 exons.